CGUGUGCCUUCCGUUCUCAAUUCUUUAAGAGAUGACAACAAAUUUUGGUUUUCUACUGUCGUGUGAGAACAUUAGGCCUCAGCAAAGCGUCACUGGGUAAGGAACAUAAAGUGCU
Long non-coding RNA from Lynx canadensis (Canada lynx), 115 nucleotides. RefSeq lists it as uncharacterized. The transcript is spliced from 3 exons. Lineage: Eukaryota; Metazoa; Chordata; Mammalia; Carnivora; Felidae. The record is from RefSeq and is a predicted model, not a curated record.